RNAcentral lists this ribosomal RNA (494 nucleotides) under uncultured bacterium. Its description in RNAcentral is "partial 16S ribosomal RNA". It matches the Rfam family "Bacterial small subunit ribosomal RNA", at positions 28 to 507 of the family's 1533-position model. The record is from RNAcentral.
GACGAACGCUGGCGGCGUGCUUAACACAUGCAAGUCGAACGGAAAGGCCUGCUUUCCCUUGUGGAUUGCGGGUACUCGAGUGGCGAACGGGUGAGUAACACGUGAGUGAUCUGCCCCCAACUUGGGUAUAAGCCUGGGAAACUGGGUCUAAUUCCCGAUAGGACUGCAGGGUGGUGCCUGUGGUGGAAAACGAUUUUCUAGUGGUUGGGGAUGAGCUCGCGGCCUAUCAGCUUGUUGGUGGGGUAAUGGCCUACCAAGGCGGCGACGGGUAGCCGGCCUGAGAGGGUGGACGGCCACAUUGGGACUGAGAUACGGCCCAGACUCCUACGGGAGGCAGCAGUGGGGAAUAUUGCACAGUGGGCGGAAGCCUGAUGCAGCGACGCCGCGUGGGGGAUGACGGCCUUCGGGUUGUAAGCUCCUUUCGACCGCGAGGAAGCCACCUGGUUGGAAGGGUGGUGACGGUAGUGGUAGAAGAAGCACCGGCUAACUACGUG